CCGCCGCGCCCCGCGCCCGUCCCGCCGCCCCCGCCCGUGGCGGACGGGUGAGUAAUGCUUAGGAAUCUGCCUAUUAGUGGGGGACAACAUUCCGAAAGGGAUGCUAAUACCGCAUACGUCCUACGGGAGAAAGCAGGGGACCUUCGGGCCUUGCGCUAAUAGAUGAGCCUAAGUCGGAUUAGCUAGUUGGUGGGGUAAAGGCCUACCAAGGCGACGAUCUGUAGCGGGUCUGAGAGGAUGAUCCGCCACACUGGGACUGAGACACGGCCCAGACUCCUACGGGAGGCAGCAGUGGGGAAUAUUGGACAAUGGGGGGAACCCUGAUCCAGCCAUGCCGCGUGUGUGAAGAAGGCCUUAUGGUUGUAAAGCACUUUAAGCGAGGAGGAGGCUACCUAGAUUAAUACUCUAGGAUAGUGGACGUUACUCGCAAAAUAAGCACCGGUUAAUUCUGUGCCAGCAGCCGCGGUA
RNAcentral lists this ribosomal RNA (468 nucleotides) under uncultured Acinetobacter sp. RNAcentral describes it as "bacterial SSU rRNA". It matches the Rfam family "Bacterial small subunit ribosomal RNA", at positions 59 to 522 of the family's 1533-position model. Lineage: Bacteria; Pseudomonadati; Pseudomonadota; Gammaproteobacteria; Moraxellales; Moraxellaceae. The record is from RNAcentral.